AUUGAACGCUGGCGGCAUGCUUUACACAUGCAAGUCGAACGGUAACAGGCCUUCGGGUGCUGACGAGUGGCGAACGGGUGAGUAAUGCAUCGGAACGUGCCCAAUCGUGGGGGAUAACGUAGCGAAAGUUACGCUAAUACCGCAUAAGCCCUGAGGGGGAAAGUGGGGGACCGCAAGGCCUCACGCGAAUGGAGCGGCCGAUGUCAGAUUAGCUAGUUGGUGGGGUAAAGGCCCACCAAGGCGACGAUCUGUAGGGGGUCUGAGAGGAUGAUCCGCCACACUGGGACUGAGACACGGCCCAGACUCCUACGGGAGGCAGCAGUAAGGAAUAUUGGACAAUGGCCGCAAGGCUGAUCCAGCCAUGCCGCGUGCAGGAAGACGGACCUAUGGUUUGUAAACUGCUUUUGAACGGGAGAAAACCCCCCUACGUGUAGGGGCGUGAUAGUACUGUUAGAAUAAGCAUCGGCUAACUUCGUGCCAGCAGCCGCGGUAAUGUGUG
This 499-nucleotide ribosomal RNA is filed under the name uncultured bacterium. RNAcentral describes it as "bacterial SSU rRNA". It matches the Rfam family "Bacterial small subunit ribosomal RNA", at positions 30 to 529 of the family's 1533-position model. The record is from RNAcentral.